UUAUGCGAUACUUGGUGUGAAUUGCAGAAUUCAGUGAAUCAUCGAAUCUUUGAACGCACAUUGCGCCCGCCAGUAUUCUGGCGGGCAUGCCUGUCCGAGCGUCAUUUCAACCCUCGAACCCCUCCGGGGGGUCGGCGUUGGGGAUCGGCCCUCCCUUAGCGGGUGGCCGUCUCCGAAAUACAGUGGCGGUCUCGCCGCAGCCUCUCCUGCGCAGUAGUUUGCACACUCGCAUCGGGAGCGCGGCGCGUCCACAGCCGUUAAACACCCAACUUCUGAAAUGUUGACCUCGGAUCAGGUAGGAAUACCCGCUGAACUUAAGCAUAUCAAUAAGCGGAGGAA
RNAcentral lists this ribosomal RNA (339 nucleotides) under Trichoderma sp. BAB-3211. RNAcentral's name for it is "eukaryotic LSU rRNA". The stretch from base 1 to 104 matches the Rfam family "5.8S ribosomal RNA", at positions 51 to 154 of the family's 154-position model. The record is from RNAcentral. Lineage: Eukaryota; Fungi; Ascomycota; Sordariomycetes; Hypocreales; Hypocreaceae.